UUCUAAGGAAGGAAGAAAAAGGGGGGAGCAGAGUAGAGCAGAGGGCUAGGGCCACCUUCUGGUUUGGGGAGAAGUCUCUGCCUUCUCCUUGGAGAGGCCUUCAGAGUCAGUAAUUCAUGAAGACUGCAUUUAAUUAAAGCACUGGGAAAGAGCUGCAAACCUGAAACCUGAGGAGUAAUGCUCAUUACAAGGAAA
Molecule: long non-coding RNA, 195 nt
Filed under: Anser brachyrhynchus (Pink-footed goose)
Lineage: Eukaryota; Metazoa; Chordata; Aves; Anseriformes; Anatidae
Description: lncRNA (ENSABRG00000005301.1)
Source: RNAcentral